CGCGUAGGCGGUUCGGUAAGUCCUGUGUGAAAUCCCUCGGCUCAACUGAGGAACUGCACGGGAGACUGCCGGGCUUGAGUUCGGGAGAGGGAAGCGGAAUUCCGGGUGUAGCGGUGAAAUGCGUAGAUAUCCGGAGGAACACCGGUGGCGAAGGCGGCUUCCUGGACCGACACUGACGCUGAGGCGCGAAAGCUAGGGGAAGGCAAACG
Molecule: ribosomal RNA, 209 nt
Filed under: uncultured bacterium
Lineage: Bacteria
Description: partial 16S ribosomal RNA
Rfam family: Bacterial small subunit ribosomal RNA
Source: RNAcentral